AACGAACGCUGGCGGCAUGCCUAACACAUGCAAGUCGAACGAGACCUUCGGGUCUAGUGGCGCACGGGUGCGUAACGCGUGGGAAUCUGCCCUUGGGUUCGGAAUAACAGUUGGAAACGACUGCUAAUACCGGAUGAUGACGUAAGUCCAAAGAUUUAUCGCCCAAGGAUGAGCCCGCGUAGGAUUAGCUAGUUGGUGAGGUAAAGGCUCACCAAGGCGACGAUCCUUAGCUGGUCUGAGAGGAUGAUCAGCCACACUGGGACUGAGACACGGCCCAGACUCCUACGGGAGGCAGCAGUGGGGAAUAUUGGACAAUGGGCGAAAGCCUGAUACAGCAAUGCCGCGUGAGUGAUGAAGGCCUUAGGGUUGUAAAGCUCUUUUACCCGGGAUGAUAAUGACAGUACCGGGAGAAUAAGCGCCGGCUAACUCCGUG
RNAcentral lists this ribosomal RNA (433 nucleotides) under uncultured bacterium. Its description in RNAcentral is "partial 16S ribosomal RNA". It matches the Rfam family "Bacterial small subunit ribosomal RNA", at positions 29 to 507 of the family's 1533-position model. The record is from RNAcentral.